CUGGCGGCGUGCCUAACACAUGCAAGUCGCACGAGNAAAGGGGCUUUCGGGCUCCCGGUAAAGUGGCGAACGGGUGAGUAACGCGUAGGCAACCUGUUCUCGAGUGUGGAAUAACCUGGCGAAAGCCGGGCUAAUACCGCAUGACGUCCGUGGGUCCUUGGACCCGCGGACCAAAGAUGGCGAGCUUCGAGCGCUGUCGCUCAGGAAGGGGCCUGCGUCCCAUUAGCUAGUUGGUGGGGUAACGGCCUACCAAGGCGACGAUGGGUAGCCGGGCUGAGAGGCUGUCCGGCCACACUGGAACUGAGACACGGUCCAGACUCCUACGGGAGGCAGCAGUGGGGAAUAUUGCGCAAUGGGGGAAACCCUGACGCAGCGACGCCGCGUGGGCGAUGAAGGCCUUCGGGUCGUAAAGCCCUGUCGAGUGGGACGAAACGCACGGGCUCUAACAUAGCUCGUGCCUGACGGUACCACUGGAGGAAGCCCCGGCUAACUCCGUGCCAGCAGCCGCGGUAAUACGGAGGGGGCGAGCGUUAUUCGGAAUUAU
This 544-nucleotide ribosomal RNA is filed under the name uncultured delta proteobacterium. RNAcentral describes it as "bacterial SSU rRNA". It matches the Rfam family "Bacterial small subunit ribosomal RNA", at positions 36 to 554 of the family's 1533-position model. Lineage: Bacteria; Deltaproteobacteria. The record is from RNAcentral.